This 320-nucleotide long non-coding RNA is filed under the name Malus domestica (apple). Its description in RNAcentral is "long non-coding RNA (MDOM_LNC001004)". Lineage: Eukaryota; Viridiplantae; Streptophyta; Magnoliopsida; Rosales; Rosaceae. The record is from RNAcentral.
UGCACAAUCAUACAUGAUCUUUUGGCCCUAUUCAUCGAUACAAAAUGAUGCCACAAUUGCAGCCAUCAAGGAAGGAUCAGCGACCUCUGCUAUACGUUCAAACUAAGAACCCUAACAUGCAUAAGAGCACAGAAGGAAGCAAAAAACAGGCAUCUUCGUGACUAGAAAACAGCGAGAACCUUGGCACACAUUAAAUUCACGACAACCAGAUGAAUACACGGUCUGGUUACCUCCUUCAGCAGCCGAUUCAGCUGCGCUCGUCCUAGGGCUUCCCAGGGCAUAUAUACCUGCACGCUAUGAUUGCUCUCUCUUUUUUCUUC